UGGAUCACCUCCUAACAGGGAGACAAACAAUGAUUUUGAUGUCUGAGUAUUUUAUUCUUAGGCCGAAAUCCUGUCACCUUAGGUCGAUCGGUACCUCAGUUUUGAAGUUAAGAAUCAGCAGUAAUGUUGAUUGCUUGAUGGAGAUUUUCAGUUCCUAAACUUUGUCUAGGUCACACCCCUGAAGGGAUGAGACUCCUGGGCCAUUAGCUCAGGUGGUUAGAGCGCACCCCUGAUAAGGGUGAGGUCCCUGGUUCAAGUCCAGGAUGGCCCAUUCGGUGUUGGGGGUUUAGCUCAGUUGGUAGAGCGCCUGCUUUGCAAGCAGGAUGUCAGGAGUUCGAGUCUCCUAACCUCCACUGACCAAACUGUAUCCCCAUCUCCAAAAGGAAUUGGAGUAUGAAUUCGAUUGGAGUGUGAUUCUAGACGUGUCCGCUGGAUGACCCCAGCUUCCUGUCAUUCCAAAUGAAAGCAAAAACGAUUUUGCUGAUUGAAUUUGGUUGAUAAGAUGCUGGGCUCAAAUCAAAUGAUCAAGCAAUUGAUGAUUUGAUUUGAAGUUCUAGCUGAACCUUGACAACUGCAUAGGUAAGGCUGGAAAGAAUAAAGCAUCUCAUGGAUGAUGCGAUGACUCUAAAGAAUGAUCUGAACGGAUGAUUGAGAGGAGUGAGUGUGAUUUCUAUAGAGGGGGAGCCGAGACUCAAUCUCGUUCUUGUGAUUGUGUCGAGCGAAAAAAAACUUUGAUUUUUGAUUUUGCAUUCAAUCAAGAAGAAUCUGUUUCCUGACCUGACGCGAGUUGGGAGCUUAUAUGGAAAAAGCUGCACAGGCCUCACAGCGUAUGUCUUGUCCCUCUGAGGCGAUGAAG
Molecule: transfer RNA, 856 nt
Filed under: uncultured Synechococcus sp.
Lineage: Bacteria; Bacillati; Cyanobacteriota; Cyanophyceae; Synechococcales; Synechococcaceae
Description: partial contains 16S ribosomal RNA, 16S-23S ribosomal RNA intergenic spacer, tRNA-Ile, tRNA-Ala, and 23S ribosomal RNA
Rfam family: tRNA (bases 281-353)
Source: RNAcentral